AUGGAAUCCUGGAUACCUGAAGUAUUUUGCCUGUAGUCAAAAAGGUAUGAAUUAGGUAUCUGGAAAUUAAACCAGGCCCUUUGUUGUCACAUCUAUUAUUCUUUCUACUGCAUCAUGACUCACAAGGAAUGAAUAUUCAAACUAGACUGGUUGGAAUAAAGGUGAAAAGGAAGACCUGGACAGAAGAAUAUUGCAAAGAUAAGAAAUGAGAACAUUGGAACCGCUUGGUGGGGAGAGGGUGCAGUAAGAGAAGCAGGAUUGGUAGAAAGACUUUAAAGACUGGAAUUCAAGUCAUUGCUCUCAUUUGCUAGCUAUGCAGCAACGGAUGAUUAGACCACUUCUUUGAGACUCAGUCGUCUUAUCUAUAUAGUGGAUUUAACAAUAUUUAUAACACCUACCUCACUGGAUUAGUGUGAGAAAACCUCCUUUUAAACCCAAAGUGCUAUUGAAAUAUCAACUGUGUACAUAUAUUGGUUUUCAGAUGUAAAGGGUGAAUUCCAAAUAAUAAAAUACCCAAGUCAGCUGCCA
RNAcentral lists this long non-coding RNA (528 nucleotides) under Monodelphis domestica (gray short-tailed opossum). RNAcentral describes it as "lncRNA (ENSMODG00000039773.1)". The record is from RNAcentral. Lineage: Eukaryota; Metazoa; Chordata; Mammalia; Didelphimorphia; Didelphidae.